Molecule: long non-coding RNA, 1674 nt
Filed under: Rattus norvegicus (Norway rat)
Lineage: Eukaryota; Metazoa; Chordata; Mammalia; Rodentia; Muridae
Description: long non-coding RNA NONRATT020336
Source: RNAcentral
AACCUCUGGCUUCAGUCUCCCCUCCAGCUCCUGUUUUUGUAGCAGGAUAUAUGGCUUUUGUUCCACCAGAAAGAAGCUACUGAUGCCUGAUGCUGCUUUCACCCUUGUGUUCUGUAAGAAUCUGGAUUGCAAGUCACUUCACAAAUGCAUUUACAUUUCACUUAUGAAAUAGCAUGAGACCUUACGGGGCCAGUUUCUUUGAUUCAGAGGUAUGUCACAUUUUUACACACAAAGUAAUUUAGAAUUGGAUUCCCACCUCUGUGUUAAAGGUGACCAACAACCUUAACCUCCAUCAAAGUCACCUUUUUUUGAUUUGGUUUCCAUCUCUACAAAACCUGACCUUUCUGUGUCCGAGGAGUAAAAACUGAUAGAAAACAUUGGAAAGUUCGGUCAGUGGUUUGUUGUAGUACAGUGUGUCAGAUUUAACGCACGCCCAGUGCUUUGUUUGUUUAUAAAACUAUAUUGAGUAAAUAUGUAUUCUGUGUGUAAAUGUUGGCAGCCUGCCAUUCCGCUGGCUCUCCACCUCUGCCUUAAAGUGCUAUAUAAAAUACACAGUAACAGUUUCACGUGACAGAACAGCCUUAAAGGCAGUCUGUAGAUAAAAAGAAGUUGAGGACUGAGUCUCUACUGAGAGACUGGGAUUGUCGCUUAAUAAGUCAAAAGCACUUAAUGCUCCUGAUUGCUAUUCUCCGAGUUAUAUUAAGUCGUAUGGUAAUUAUAUUAAGAGUUACCUUGUCAUUAUUUCCUGUGAAACAAUGGGAAACCCUUUGAUGACUGUCAUGUGACAGCUGGGUUCUGCUAUGAAGUGACUUUGGGGGCGGAAGUCAUAAUAGUGUGCACUUUAGGCGAAGCCACAGACCCCUUUAAAGAUGCCCUUCCUGACACUUGCUUCCUUAAAAAUCCCUGUUCAUCUACAGUCUCAUCUCUCUGCAGAAAUUUUGACCUGAAUUGUCACCAAGUUUUAAUUAGUCUAUGGUUUAGGAUGUACAGGCUAUACAAGAAAAAAAAUUAAAGUUGUUGGAGGUAUGUCAAAGAGGUCUGUAUAUGACAAUAUUUACAGAUUAAGAUGUUGGGCUCUUUAAUGCAGUUUUUGUUUUCUGUAUUAGGCAAAUAAUACUAAUUUUUAUAUGUGGAUUUUGACUGUGGGGGUUUGUCUCUAUAAUUUGUCUUAAUGUUGAAAUAACUUGACUAUCCAAAGCUUCUAGUAUAUGUCAGGUAUGUGUGUAUGUCUAUAUAAUAUAUAUUAUAUAUUCUCUAUAUAUAGAUGUAUCAGCUGAAGGUCAGAGUUCCCACUUGUGUUGAAAUUCUGUGGAACUGACCAGUACAGCUGAGUGACAUGAAUAGUUUGCUUGUUUACGGGGGAGGGUUAUUACAGUCAAUUGUUCUCUUCACCAAAUGAGCGUCUUGUUUUCUUAUUAAAUGCUAUCUCAGAUUUUAUUUUUAGAUGAUUUUUCAACCUUAAAUUCAUUCUAUUCACCAAUUACUGUGAAUUGUGUUUCUAUUUAUUUUCCUUGGCUAAUUUAACUUUAUUCAUUACUUUCUAAAUUUUUCUAUGGCAACGUUUAGAACUAUUGUAUUGCUUUAAAAAAAAGUCAAAUCAUUGUAAAUCAUAUAUGCUUCUGUUUAUGAUAAGAGAAUAAUGAGAUUAAAAAGUGUAUAUUGGUAAAGAAGUAA